UGAACGCUGGCGGCAUGCUUUACACAUGCAAGUCGAACGGUAACAGGCCGCAAGGUGCUGACGAGUGGCGAACGGGUGAGUAAUGCAUCGGAACGUGCCCAGUCGUGGGGGAUAACUACUCGAAAGAGUAGCUAAUACCGCAUACGAUCUAUGGAUGAAAGCGGGGGACCGUAAGGCCUCGCGCGAUUGGAGCGGCCGAUGUCAGAUUAGGUAGUUGGUGGGGUAAAGGCUCACCAAGCCAACGAUCUGUAGCUGGUCUGAGAGGACAACCAGCCACACUGGGACUGAGACACGGCCCAGACUCCUACGGGAGGCAGCAGUGGGGAAUUUUGGACAAUGGGCGCAAGCCUGAUCCAGCAAUGCCGCGUGCAGGAAGAGGGCCUUCGGGUUGUAAACUGCUUUUGUACGGAACGAAACGGCUCUGGUUAAUACCCGGGGCUAAUGACGGUACCGUAAGAAUAAGCACCGGCUAACUACGUG
RNAcentral lists this ribosomal RNA (480 nucleotides) under uncultured bacterium. Its description in RNAcentral is "partial 16S ribosomal RNA". It matches the Rfam family "Bacterial small subunit ribosomal RNA", at positions 30 to 507 of the family's 1533-position model. The record is from RNAcentral.